GCUUGACUGAAGAGACUCAAACUUGGAACUAGAAUACAGCAGUCACAGUUACAAGAAGAAAUGUUCCAGAAUUUGUGUCUCUGAGGAGCCCCAAUAGAUUGGUUCCAAGAGAGGUUGUGCAUCCUUGUGUUGGAGGUGGCCGGAGUUAGAGGGAGGACACAGAAGCAGCACUACAAGAAGGAAAAUAAGGGAGAAUGGCAGGACACAGAAGGACAAAAGGAUGAGGGGAAAAGGAGAGAAGAGAAUCACAUCCAAGGAACA
This 261-nucleotide long non-coding RNA is filed under the name Mustela putorius furo (domestic ferret). RNAcentral describes it as "lncRNA (ENSMPUG00000031626.1)". Lineage: Eukaryota; Metazoa; Chordata; Mammalia; Carnivora; Mustelidae. The record is from RNAcentral.